UACGUAGGUGGCAAGCGUUGUCCGGAUUUAUUGGGCGUAAAGGGGGCGCAGGCGGUUCCUUAAGUCUGAUGUGAAAGCCCACGGCUCAAACGUGGAAGGUCAUUGGAAACUGGGGAACUUGAGUGCAGAAGAGGGAAGUAGAAUUCCAUGUGUAGCGGUGAAAUGCGCAGAGAUGUGGAGGAACACCAGUGGCUAAGGCGACUUUCUGGUCU
Molecule: ribosomal RNA, 212 nt
Filed under: uncultured bacterium
Lineage: Bacteria
Description: partial 16S ribosomal RNA
Rfam family: Bacterial small subunit ribosomal RNA
Source: RNAcentral